This 253-nucleotide ribosomal RNA is filed under the name uncultured bacterium. RNAcentral's name for it is "partial 16S ribosomal RNA". It matches the Rfam family "Bacterial small subunit ribosomal RNA", at positions 524 to 776 of the family's 1533-position model. The record is from RNAcentral.
UACAGAGGUCUCAAGCGUUGUUCGGAUUCAUUGGGCGUAAAGGGUGUGUAGGUGGCGCCGUAAGUCGGGUGUGAAAUUUCGGAGCUUAACUCCGAAACUGCAUUCGAUACUGCGGUGCUUGAGGACUGGAGAGGAGACUGGAAUUCAUGGUGUAGCAGUGAAAUGCGUAGAGAUCAUGAGGAACACCCGUGGCGAAGGCGGCGCCCUGGUCCGUUACUGACGCUGAGACGCGAAAGCGCGGGGAGCGAACGGG